ACCUUCACUUUUAGUUGCCAUCAUUUAGUUGGGCACUCUGAAAGAACUGCCAGUGAUAAGCUGGAGGAAGGUGGGGAUGACGUCAAGUCCUCAUGGCCCUUAUGUGUUGGGCUACACACGUGCUACAAUGGCAUUUACAAUAGGAAGCAAGAUGGCGACAUUAAGCAAAUCCUAAAAAAAUGCCUCAGUUCGGAUUGUACUCUGCAACUCGAGUACAUGAAGCUGGAAUUACUAGUAAUCGCGGAUCAGCGUGCCGCGGUGAAUACGUUCCCGGGUCUU
Molecule: ribosomal RNA, 279 nt
Filed under: unidentified marine eubacterium
Lineage: Bacteria
Description: partial 16S ribosomal RNA
Rfam family: Bacterial small subunit ribosomal RNA
Source: RNAcentral